AGGGAAUUGCUGCAUUGAUUCCACUGGAUCCCUGGGAGUGUUCCAAGGUGGGGACCUUGCGACCCCAUUUGUGGAUGAGACGACUCAAGUGAUUGAUCCAGGACCACAGCUGGGACAAGCACCUUUCUCUAGGCCCCUGCUUCUCCCAAGAGCUUGAAGGACACGCAGAGGCUUGUGUCCACUGGAGGACUCAUGGAAACACAGGGUAACAGGGUGCAUAUUUAGCCAUGCGUCAGUUUUAUUCCCUGAAGCAAAAAGUCUUCCCACAGAACCCACCAGACUGACCGGGGCCACUCACAAGGAGGGAAGAAAAACUACUUUGUGGUUUUCUCCGGAGGACAUCCAUCCGGUCCAUGCCAAUGAGCAGUAUCUUCCAGAAGGAAGAAUUCAGGAAUGAGGAAAAGAAGUAAUGAAGCAUCUACAGAAAAGAUCAUUGGGUCUAAAUCAGCAAAUUCAUUACAUAAAAGUGACUUCUGAUCACAAUCUCUCUUAACACUGUCCCUACAUACCAUCCAAAGAUAGUACUUUGUGCUGUGUCUAAAAUCUUCUGAUGCGGCUUUAAAACAAUCACAUCCUUAGCAACAGACUAGAGUGAUAAUGUCAGAAAACAGUAUUGGUUCUAUGCCCACAGUUUC
Leptonychotes weddellii (Weddell seal) is the source of this 635-nucleotide long non-coding RNA. RefSeq lists it as uncharacterized. The record is from RefSeq and is a predicted model, not a curated record. Lineage: Eukaryota; Metazoa; Chordata; Mammalia; Carnivora; Phocidae.